Molecule: ribosomal RNA, 777 nt
Filed under: uncultured marine bacterium
Lineage: Bacteria
Description: bacterial SSU rRNA
Rfam family: Bacterial small subunit ribosomal RNA
Source: RNAcentral
GGCGAACUGGUGAGUAACGCGUAGGAAUCUACCUAGUAGAAGGGGAUAGCCCGAGGAAACUCGGAUUAAUACCGUAUACGUCCUUAGGGAGAAAGAGGGCUUAGCUUUGAUGCUCUCGCUAUUAGAUGAGCCUGCGUAAGAUUAGCUAGUUGGUGAGGUAAAGGCUCACCAAGGCGACGAUCUUUAGCUGGUCUGAGAGGACGAUCAGCCACAUUGGGACUGAGACACGGCCCAGACUCCUACGGGAGGCAGCAGUGGGGAAUAUUGGACAAUGGGCGCAAGCCUGAUCCAGCCAUACCGCGUGUGUGAAGAAGGCCUUCGGGUUGUAAAGCACUUUAAGUAAGGAAGAAAAGAGUAUUGUUAAUACCAAUACUCCGUGACAUUACUUACAGAAUAAGGACCGGCUAAUUCCGUGCCAGCAGCCGCGGUAAUACGGAAGGUCCAAGCGUUAAUCGGAAUUACUGGGCGUAAAGCGCGCGUAGGUGGUUUAUUAAGUUGGGUGUGAAAGCCCCGGGCUCAACCUGGGAACUGCAUCCAAAACUGAUUCACUAGAGUACGAAAGAGGAAAGUAGAAUUCACAGUGUAGCGGUGGAAUGCGUAGAUAUUGUGAAGAAUACCGAUGGCGAAGGCAGCUUUCUGGUUCUGUACUGACACUGAGGUGCGAAAGCGUGGGUAGCGAACAGGAUUAGAUACCCUGGUAGUCCACGCCGUAAACGAUGACAACUAGCUGUUGGGAAGCUAUGCUUUUCAGUGGCGCAGCUAACGUCUUAAGUUGUC